AUGGAUGAGGUCACAAGGGAUAUACAAGGAGAUAUCCCAUGGUGUAUGCUCUUUGCGGAUGAUGUGGUGCUAGUUGACGAUGGUCGGGCGGGGGUACAUAGGAAGUUAGAGUUAUGGAGACAAACCUUGGAAUCGAAAGGGUUUAGGCUUAGUAGAACUAAAACCGAGUACAUGAUGUGCGGUUUCAGUACUACUAGGUGUGAGGAGGAGGUUAGCCUUGAUGGCCAGGUGGUACCCCAGAAGGACACCUUUCGGUUUUUGGGGUCAAUGCUGCAGGAGGAUGGGGGUAUUGAUGAAGAUGUGAACCAUCGAAUCAAAGCCGGAUGGAUGAAGUGGUGCCAAGCUUCUGGCAUUCUCUGUGACAAGAGAGUGCCACAAAAGCUAAAAGGCAAGUUCUACAGGACGGCGGUUCGACCCGCAAUGUUGUAUGGCGCCGAGUGUUGGCCGACUAAAAGGCGACAUGUUCAACAGUUAGGUGUGGCGGAGAUGCGUAUGUUGAGAUGGAUGUGUGGCCGCACGAGGAAGGAUCGAAUCCGAAAUGAUGAUAUACGAGAUAGAGUUGGGGUAGCACCAAUUGAAGAGAAGCUUGUCCAACAUCGUCUGAGAUGGUUUGGGCAUAUUCAGCGCAGAGGCCUCUAG
This 639-nucleotide ribosomal RNA is filed under the name Triticum aestivum (bread wheat). RNAcentral's name for it is "partial small subunit ribosomal RNA". Lineage: Eukaryota; Viridiplantae; Streptophyta; Magnoliopsida; Poales; Poaceae. The record is from RNAcentral.